RNAcentral lists this ribosomal RNA (356 nucleotides) under Schizophyllum commune. RNAcentral's name for it is "eukaryotic LSU rRNA". The stretch from base 1 to 63 matches the Rfam family "5.8S ribosomal RNA", at positions 91 to 154 of the family's 154-position model. The record is from RNAcentral. Lineage: Eukaryota; Fungi; Basidiomycota; Agaricomycetes; Agaricales; Schizophyllaceae.
AUCGAAUCUUUGACGCACCUUGCGCCCUUUGGUAUUCCGAGGGGCAUGCCUGUUUGAGUGUCAUUAAAUACCAUCAACCCUCUUUUGACUUCGGUCUCGAGAGUGGCUUGGAAGUGGAGGUCUGCUGGAGCCUAACGGAGCCAGCUCCUCUUAAAUGUAUUAGCGGAUUUCCCUUGCGGGAUCGCGUCUCCGAUGUGAUAAUUUCUACGUCGUUGACCAUCUCGGGGCUGACCUAGUCAGUUUCAAUAGGAGUCUGCUUCUAACCGUCUCUUGACCGAGACUAGCGACUUGUGCGCUAACUUUUGACUUGACCUCAAAUCAGGUAGGACUACCCGCUGAACUUAAGCAUAUCAAUA